GAUUUCUGGUACGGUGCGCCUGACCCACUGUCGAAAGGCGUGUGAAGUGUCGGUGUGCGUCUGCCAUCCUUCUAGGAAUUCUAUCGCACUUCACUGGGCGGUAGUUGAACUAGAUCUUUUACUUUGAAAAAAUUAGAGUGUUUAAAGCAGGCUUGCGCCUUGAAUACAUUAGCAUGGAAUAAUAAUUUAGGACUUUGUUCCUAUUUUGUUGGUUUUAAGGAAUUAAGUAAUGAUUGAUAGGGAUAGUUGGGGGUGCUAGUAUUCAUCGGCCAGAGGUGAAAUUCUUGGAUUCGAUGAAGACUAACUUAUGCGAAAGCAUU
Molecule: ribosomal RNA, 320 nt
Filed under: Paracercomonas sp.
Lineage: Eukaryota; Cercozoa; Cercomonadida; Cercomonadidae
Also listed under: 1 other name
Description: SSU rRNA
Rfam family: Eukaryotic small subunit ribosomal RNA (bases 60-320)
Source: RNAcentral